CAGGGCUUUCAGGGGCCAGAAAUAGAGAAGAUUGGCCUUUCCAUUUUCUGUCUUCUAUGAUUACAGAUGCAAUGCCCCUUACUGGAUUUUAUGCAUAUAAAUGUGUUUAUAUCUCAAUGAAUAACAAAGCAUCUUUACAAGGAUCCCACUCAAAAUUCAAUCAUGCUAUGAAAAUGUUUUAUCACUCACCUACAUCCUGGAGAAAAGAAUAUCAAGAUUGUGAGCUUCUGAGACGUUGUUUGAAAGAUGUACGUGUCCUGUGUGCAGCCUUCCUCAGGAAGUAAACUACUGGACUAAAACAAUAAACUAAUCACAG
Molecule: long non-coding RNA, 316 nt
Organism: Heterocephalus glaber (naked mole-rat)
Lineage: Eukaryota; Metazoa; Chordata; Mammalia; Rodentia; Bathyergidae
Source: Ensembl